AGCAUUGUGAGUGCAGUUCAGCUAGACAAGGAGAUGUCUUAGUGGCUGUGCUGGUCCAGGGACUUUACUUGGGUUUCCUGCAGCUCCCGGCUCCUUGGGCAGCAGCUGGCUUCUUCAUUUCACCCCCUUAUGGUUCAGCAGCAGGAUCAGCCCCUCCAUUUCUCCCCAUUGCAUUUGGAGAGCCUCUGCUCGCUUCCCACUGGUUUAUUUCCGUCUGACCGGAUGGCAGAUGCAGCAUUCAAGGACUUCAGAACCUUUGAUUUAAUUGCUCAAAAAGUAACAUCAAAGCACAUGGGCAGCUCUGCCUGAAAGCGGGAAAGUCUGGGCCGUGCUGCGUCGCUCUGUGGGCAAAGGCCAGUCACGCUGGGACCGAGCCCCAGUCUGAGCCCCAGAUUCUCUUGGUGAAAUCGCUCCCCAGGCUGGAGGACGUCUGGAGGGGGAGACCCCACCCCAGGAAGCCUACCCCAGGCAAGCAGGAUCCCUGGGAACUCGGAGAGCCAGAGCCAGCCCCUUUUGGAAGGCUGCAGGGGAAGCAUGACUGAGGUGGAGCCUGUGCUGGACUUUGCAUCCUCCGGGAGGACUGGCCGCAGGAACGCCCUCCCUGACAUUCUGGGCUCGCCGGCCGGCGUCAGCCCCUCCGACCUGCCUCUGAAACUAGCUGAAAUGUCUCUAAGCUCAGACAGAUCCCAGGAAAUGCAGUCCCCGUCCACAGAGGUGCCCCCGCAGCAGCCCCAAAGCCCAGAGCUGAAGGACACGUCUUAACACCUCCCCUGGGAUGCAUUUCUGACCAGCAGGGAAAGGAGAGACUGCUGAGCAUCAACACAGCUUGAUUGGUGGGGCCUGGAGUUUGCUGGGUUUUCCUUGGUGCUAUGCAGCAAGAACAUCUUGUGUUCCUUGGAGUGGGGGAGUAGAGGAACCUCCAAGGGGGAAUAAGCAACCACGUGUCUGGCAAAGCUGGGGAAAACCCCUGCAGGGAAACGUUUCUUCGGUGGCAUUUAAGGACACAGACUUAGGAGCCAAGGGCGUUUAUUUGGGGGUAUUUUCUCGUCUUCACACCCAAACAGCUGAGCGGUGCUGACACCUGCGAUGUCUCUGUGCUAGGAACGUGACGAGCAACCAAGGGUUGUUCUUAGCUGAGUACAUUUGUUCAUUGAUGUUCUGGGGCACAAUUUCCUUGUUUUUUCUUUUGUAAUAGAUGAUCCAGUAUCCUUAUUCAGGCCUUCUGAGAAGCCUGGGGCAAAUGGCACAGCGGGGGUCCGUAGGACAUUCUCCUCUCUGACACCCAAAGGUGAAGCCCUUGUCUGACAAACAGAAGCGAGUCCCUUCCCAGGCUGGGUCCUGCUUAAGCCGGGACCCAGUAUGACCCCUGCAACUUGCGGGAUAAAGCUCCCUUGAGCCCUGGCUCCCUUUAGAAGCUUGCCAACCAAACGGGAUGAAGUUUGGCAGUUUCACCAAAGUCUCAAAGCAGCCAGCAGGCCACACCGGGGCGUCAGUGACGCCAGUCCACGGAGCUUAGUGUCACUGGUGAACCGGGCUCAGCCCAGACCCCCAGGCUUGCCUGGAUCCCCGCCCCUCAUGCAGCACCCCCUGCCCCGGGUUGUGGUUAGGGUCCUGGGCACUGGAUAUACUGUGCACAACUACCUCCCCCGAGGACUGGCCUUCAGGAGCAGCGCUGGCUCUGCCCCCAAGCCAUGGCUGCCGCCUGCUCUAAUCAGGAGUAUCCAGCCCUCUGUACAAGGGAUGAGAAACUGCCAGUUGGGCUCUGCAGGGAGAGAAGCGGGGUCAGUGGGUUUCACAGCAAACCCCAGAGGGGGCUGCCCCCUACACAACAGCAGAGAACCCGAGGCCAAGGGUUUUGCUGCCUAAACACAGGCUCUGUCUAAACACAGCACUCUGCCCUCUGCAGGGAGAUCGGUGCAUUACACAGGGGGGCUGUAGCCCCAGGUUCCCAUCCCUUACUGGCCAGGAUGGCAAGGAACCAUCUGCAGGUGGUACCAGGCGCUACUCAGGUUUUGGGGGGCAUUUAAUGUUUGUUUUUCACUACGGGUGUAGAGAGACACCCCCACCCACCGUGCCUGGAUCCUCCCUGCCCCCGCGAGGAGGAAAAUGUAAAGGAAACCUAGUGGUUUGGCUCAGAUAUACUGUGGCACUUUAGCGAAUGCUGCCAUGGCCACACAGGGCAGGGUUCUGGAUUGAUAGAGGGGUCCCUCCUGCUCUCUUGCAAUGGUCCCCCCAGAGGGGAGCUUUGGGGCAGAGAACCCUGGUGUUCUGCUCGACAUGGCCUCUCUCUUACUGUUCCUGUUGUUUGUAUUGUAGCAGUGCCCCCGUCACAGGCCCAGGCCCCAGUGGGCUGGGCGCUGUGCAGACACAUCGGAGACACUCCGAGCCCUGAAGAUCAGAUGUGCAAUAUGCCGUGCCCCAGGCUGUAUGAGAGCUCAUGCUGGGUUUUGCCCCAGCACUCACUGUGGCCACCUGGCUCGCGAGAGACGGGCUCUAUGAAUCCAACAGGACUCACUGCCACUGGCCUCGCAUCCAGCCUUGGGCACACCGGAGCCAGGAGAAUAGCCAUAGGUCUGGGAGGACUCUGCAAUGAUUCCCCCUGGGGAGCGAGUUAGUUUAGAUUCAGGCCUUCCCCUCCCACUUGUGUCCCCGGGUUCACUAACUCCUCGUUGACGUGGGCACCCUGUGCCUGCACUGCCAGCCCCUCCACGGUGCCUCCAGCCAUGGUCUCUGGUUUGGGUGCUCAGGGGACUACAAAGGCCCAUGUGGAUUUUGUUGUCCUUUCCCUGGGAGCUGGGCGCAUCACUUUUGCUGGCCUUUCACCUUCUGCCAGUGCAAAGGACCCAGGAGCCUGAGGCUCCCCCAGUCUCUGAGAAUGCAGAACUGCUGCCCAGGUUUCUUAUUGUCCCUCCUGGGCUCCCAGACCCAGCAAACUGAUGUGACGAACACUCCUUCCCCAGCUGUCACUCUAAGGUCAGGUCUCCAGCGUGGUGUUUCUGGAGCGGUAGCCCCUGCCUUGGCACUGGGAAGUUCCUUCUGGGAGAGGAUUGAGCCAUGCAGGGGCUCUGGUCUCCCAGCUGUGGAAUCAGGGUAAAUCUUAGUGCCCAGGCAGGACUGGGGUCAUCAUAAUACAGCUGCAAUGCAGAAACACAUCGGUGUCGCAAGGAACAAGAUGCUUCUAAUACACCUGGAAGGACUUUGUGCUGCACAGUGAUACCAGCCCUUUGCCAUUCUCCAGCACCUUCCAUCUGAGGACCUCAAAGUCCUAUACAAAAAGAUCACAUGUACCCAAAAAUACAGCCCAACCCUGGUUAUUGACGGGAAUGAAUAUAUCGCUGCUCCAAGGUACUUGCUACACCCUGUGUUGGGCAUUUAAAAAAAAACCGUACAGCUCCAUUGAUACACAUAACAACUCCUAAAGGCUUGACAUAGACUUAAGAAAUUCAUUUCUCACAAACUACCUAGGGGACAAACUUCCUGCCAUUAAAAAAGCUGGUAGUCUCAGUUUUCCAGGGGUAUAAAGCACUAAUUUAUAAUCAUCAAAGGUCAUUUUAUCAGAUCUUUUAAAAUCACACCACUCCGAUUACCAUCUUCCUCCUCCACACUUGCAUUCCAGUGUGUUUUGGUAGCUGCCAUCUCAAGAACUACUUGAGAUAGAAACUGAUGCUGCCUGUCCUCUUGAGUGGAAGAUUGGGAAUCUCAGAUUUCAAAGGGGAUAAAGCGUCAACCUCUAACUUGAAAUACCAGCUGCUAAAAUCACCCUGGAAUGACCAUCACAAACGUGCUUUGUUGAUGGGACCACUACAAAUGGUUUCAGGACCAAUCUGAUUUUUCUAAGCACUGAUCCUAUGCUGAAUUUGCAAAACAUCUGUCUGUCCAUUUAUUUCUGGAAGGCUCAGGCCUAGACUCUGAUCUCAGUGACUAUCAGGAUAAAUCUGGAGUAAAUCCAUUUCAGUGAAUGGAGUUAUUCCAAUUUUACACCAGUGGAAAUGAGACCAGACUCUGACCCCCCACGGCUAAAUAAUGCUUGUAAAAGGAUACUGGAUUUAGCAUCAUUCCUAACAUGUAAACAAGAGGUAUCCUGGAUUUAAUGUCUGUGUAAUGUGUCUGUGUGGGUGUGUAUUGGAUGUGUAUAGUGUGUACAUGCUGCUUCCUGGAGCGUCUGAGCACAGCUGGGAACAGAGUGAAUGUGGAGACUGGUUUGUGGUGGACGCUUGGGACCAGGGAUUGGGGCUGGGAGGAAGGUCUGAGGACUGGAACUUCCAAAGGGAAAUUUCACAUGGGCACAUGCCCCCAGCGCCCAAACUGUCAGAUCUCAUUGGCUUUGACUUGGUGGCUGUCAGGAAUUGAGAUGGGGCUGGGAGUGCAGUGAACACGGGGGUUCUUUUUUUAAGGGAGCAGUGUGCAUCUCUGGGAGAGUCCUGAGCUGCUCCCACCUGGGGACUUGUUUGGGUAAUAAAUUGUGAGUAUUUUCCUGUGCA
Molecule: long non-coding RNA, 4481 nt
Organism: Dermochelys coriacea (leatherback sea turtle)
Lineage: Eukaryota; Metazoa; Chordata; Testudines; Dermochelyidae
Exons: 6
Source: RefSeq, a predicted model, not a curated record